RNAcentral lists this ribosomal RNA (425 nucleotides) under uncultured bacterium. Its description in RNAcentral is "partial 16S ribosomal RNA". It matches the Rfam family "Bacterial small subunit ribosomal RNA", at positions 354 to 796 of the family's 1533-position model. The record is from RNAcentral.
GUGGGGAAUCUUGCGCAAUGGGCGAAAGCCUGACGCAGCCAUGCCGCGUGAAUGAUGAAGGUCUUAGGAUUGUAAAAUUCUUUCACCGGGGACGAUAAUGACGGUACCCGGAGAAGAAGCCCCGGCUAACUUCGUGCCAGCAGCCGCGGUAAUACGAAGGGGGCUAGCGUUGCUCGGAAUUACUGGGCGUAAAGGGCGCGUAGGCGGACAGUUUAGUCAGAGGUGAAAGCCCAGGGCUCAACCUUGGAAUUGCCUUUGAUACUGGCUGUCUUGAGUACGGGAGAGGUGAGUGGAACUCCGAGUGUAGAGGUGAAAUUCGUAGAUAUUCGGAAGAACACCAGUGGCGAAGGCGAUUAACUGGACGGGCACUGACGCUGAGGCACGAAAGCGUGGGGAUCAAACAGGAUUAGAAACCCCGGUAGUCC